UAACAUGCAAGUCGAACGGCAGCACGGACUUCGGUCUGGUGGCGAGUGGCGAACGGGUGAGUAAUGCGCCGGAACGUAUCCAGUAGAGGGGGAUAACGCAGCGAAAGCUGUGCUAAUACCGCAUACGCCCUGAGGGGGAAAGCAUGGGAUCUUCGGACCAUGCGUUAUUGGAGCGGCCGACGUCUGAUUAGCUAGUAGGUGAGGUAAAGGCUCACCUAGGCGAUGAUCAGUAGCUGGUCUGAGAGGAUGAUCAGCCACACUGGAACUGAGAGACGGUCCAGACUCCUACGGGAGGCAGCAGUGGGGAAUUUUGGACAAUGGGCGCAAGCCUGAUCCAGCCAUUCCGCGUGAGUGAAGAAGGCCUUCGGGUUGUAAAGCUCUUUCGGCAGGAAAGAAAAGGUUCUGGUUAAUAGCUGGAACUGCUGACGGUACCGGAAGAAGAAGCACCGGCUAACUACGUGCCAGCAGCCGCGGUAAUACGUAGGGUGCGAGCGUUAAUCGGAAUUACUGGGCGUAAAGCGUGCGCAGGCGGUUUGGUAAGACAGAUGUGAAAUCCCCGGGCUUAACCUGGGAACUGCAUUUGUGACUGCCAGACUAGAGUGUAGCAGAGGGGGGUAGAAUUCCACGUGUAGCAGUGAAAUGCGUAGAGAUGUGGAGGAAUACCGAUGGCGAAGGCAGCCCCCUGGGCUAACACUGACGCUCAUGCACGAAAGCGUGGGGAGCAAACAGGAUUAGAUACCCUGGUAGUCCACGCCCUAAACGAUGUCAACUAGGUGUUGGGGAAGGAGACUUCUUUAGUACCGCAGCUAACGCGUGAAGUUGACCGCCUGGGGAGUACGGUCGCAAGAUUAAAACUCAAAGGAAUUGACGGGGACCCGCACAAGCGGUGGAUUAUGUGGAUUAAUUCGAUGCAACGCGAAAACCUUACCUACCCUUGACAUGUCAGA
This 947-nucleotide ribosomal RNA is filed under the name uncultured bacterium. RNAcentral describes it as "bacterial SSU rRNA". It matches the Rfam family "Bacterial small subunit ribosomal RNA", at positions 51 to 993 of the family's 1533-position model. The record is from RNAcentral.